GGACAGAUGGCCGAGCUGGUUAUGGCGCCAGGUUAAGGUCUAUCUUAACAGCAGUUUCCUGGUCUCGUAUGAGGCGUGGGUUCGAGUCCCACUCUGUUCA
Non-coding RNA from Acephala macrosclerotiorum, 100 nucleotides. Lineage: Eukaryota; Fungi; Ascomycota; Leotiomycetes; Helotiales; Mollisiaceae. The record is from the annotation of a GenBank genome assembly.